Nicotiana tabacum (common tobacco) is the source of this 4081-nucleotide non-coding RNA. The record is from RefSeq and is a predicted model, not a curated record. Lineage: Eukaryota; Viridiplantae; Streptophyta; Magnoliopsida; Solanales; Solanaceae.
UUUUCACUUAGACACUCCAUCUUAAGUCUGUUUCAAUUGAACACUCCAACCACAUCCUGAAUGUGUCAUUUAGACACAAAAUUGAUAGGCAGCCAAAUACAAAAAAAGCGUGUAUUUCACAGGCCGAAAUGACGAAUAAGACGGGGACAAGUGGAUAUAACUUGAACAAAUUAAAAAAAAAAAUUAACGGGAAACAAGAACCCAUCCCACCCCUUUGUCAUCUUCCCCAAGACCCCAACGACUUCCCUUCCCUCCUUCCGUCUUCUUCUUCCAAAAGAAAGAACAGAGGUACAAACUCACUCCCCUGCCACCACUCUUUUUCCUCCUAAUCUCCACCUCCAACCCUCUACAAUAUUAAGAACAUGCAUAAGACAUAGAAAUUAACUAAUAAUUUCUCUGUCACGGAGGAUUAAUCCCAGAUUGUCAGAAAUUACACCCACCACAACAAGCUAUCGAGAUCUUCUGGAAUCGAACAAUACACACCAAAUACACCAAAUAUUCUGUCAUGGAGCAAUUUCUGUCAAAACUUUUCUUCUUUUUUUUCUUUUUGUUGAAAGCUCCUUCUUUUAGUAGUUGUUUGAAAUCUUUGACCAAGAAUGAUUCGCUAGAGAUCGUUUCUGAAAUUUUGAAUUCCUGUGAAUAUGAGAUGCUUAAAACUCUAUUGGUGUUGGUUAUUUAUAGUUUGUUACUAUGUGUAUAAUGUGCAUGUGAGAUUUUAUCUGCCUUUUAAGAUGGCCAAAUACAUCGCCAGCCCCUUAAAGUUGUCCAUACUUUUCACUUAGACACUCCAUCUUAAGUCUGUUUCAAUUGAACACUCCAACCACAUCCUGAAUGUGUCAUUUAGACACAAAAUUGAUAGGCAGCCAAAUACAAAAAAAGCGUGUAUUUCACACGCCGAAAUGACGAAUAAGACGGGGACAAGUGGAUAUAACUUGAACAAAUUAAAAAAAAAAAUUAACGGGAAACAAGAACCCAUCCCACCCCUUUGUCAUCUUCCCCAAGACCCCAACGACUUCCCUUCCCUCCUUCCGUCUUCUUCUUCCAAAAGAAAGAACAGAGGUACAAACUCACUCCCCUGCCACCACUCUUUUUCCUCCUAAUCUCCACCUCCAACCCUCUACAAUAUUAAGAACAUGCAUAAGACAUAGAAAUUAACUAAUAAUUUCUCUGUCACGGAGGAUUAAUCCCAGAUUGUCAGAAAUUACACCCACCACAACAAGCUAUCGAGAUCUUCUGGAAUCGAACAAUACACACCAAAUACACCAAAUAUUCUGUCAUGGAGCAAUUUCUGUCAAAACUUUUCUUCUUUUUUUUCUUUUUGUUGAAAGCUCCUUCUUUUAGUAGUUGUUUGAAAUCUUUGACCAAGAAUGAUUCGCUAGAGAUCGUUUCUGAAAUUUUGAAUUCCUGUGAAUAUGAGAUGCUUAAAACUCUAUUGGUGUUGGUUAUUUAUAGUUUGUUAGCUAUUCAUAUAUGGUGUUUGGAUUGAAAAUUUCGGACAAUUUUGUUGGGUUUAGAGAUCUGCUUGAAUCUCAUUAUUUGGUUUGAAAACUUUCGGAUCUGACUCUGAGCAUAUGAAUGUUGAAGUUUGAAUCCCAAAAUUUUUGGAUCUUUGGUUAUUGUGAAAAGAAUCAUCUAGGUUAUUAACUUAUAACUCAAAAUCAACUAUUAGUUAGUUCGUGAUAAUCAAAAAUUCAUAAUAGCUAUUGUUGAGGUUCGAGUCUUUAGCGGAGAAGAAACAAAGAAGAACAAAAUAUUUGAGGUUUUUCUGGUGAUUUCCAUUUAUUCUGGCAAUGGAAACUAGAAUAGUAAGGUGAUGGUGGUGGACUAGUGGAGGGAGAGAGGAAGGUGGUGACCUGGACAAUGGCAUGUGAAAGAAUAGGAGGAAAAUGAAAAAAGGAAAAAAUUAUAAAAGGUAAAAUUGAAUUCUAACGCUCUGAAAAAUGGUGUAAUACACACACUAUGUCACAUCAUCAAAUUGUGUCUAAAUGACACAUUUGGGAUGUGAUUGGAGUAUUCAAUUGAAACGGACUUAAAAUGAAGUGUCUAAGUGAAAAGUGUGGACAAUUUUAAGGAGCUGACGAUGUAUUUGGCCUUUUAAGAUCAACAAUAACUGGCAUAAAGUAGUUUAGUAGUGCUCCAAAACCAAGAAAACUUCCGUCCUCCCCAUGAUUGGUGAUGACUGAUGAGCGGCUCCGAGGCUCUUACAUAUAUGAUUUACUCUUGGGAGUCUGAACGUGAUGUUACUUCAAUGUCAUGGAUAUAUUUAGUAGAUUCUUAUUGCAAAAAGUAAUAUGACAACAUUGUUUCAUAGGGAUGGAGUCAUUCCAUUAAUACUAUCAGGGAGAGCUAGAGCGACUGAUUCGGGGCUAAAGAUACAAUGCUUCAUUGCUUACAAUCUUUAACAUUUCUAAAGUUGUGCCACAUUGAGAUUAUAAUGGCUCUAGAUGGAUUAUUGAACUUCUACUGUUUCUAUGUUUCCCAUUAAGUACUUGCUAUAAAAACUAAUACAAAUUGCAGAUUGAGCCUUCUACGCAUAAGGGGCAUGGAUUAAAGGCAAUGGUUCUCCAUACUUUUUGUGUCCUUGUAUUUAUUAAUCUCUCAUAGUUGAAGUUAUUUUCCUACUCCAAUUUCUUUUCUUUUUUUAAAAGAUAUUUGUAUUAUUUACUUAUUAAAAAAAGAAGAUAUUUUGUAUGCUUUAUGUAUAUUAUAGAUCCGUUGUUUCUAGGUAAUCAUUGAACUCUGCAAGUUGUCUCUAGUGGAGGAUAUCUAUUUGUCACUACCAGUUUUUUUAAUUUCUAUGUAAACACUAGAUGAUUUACAUAUUGAUUAUAUAGCUUCACAGAAGAAAUUGUCUUUGAAAUGUGUUAUAAGCGGCAGAGGUAUUAAGCACCUUGACUCAACUAAAUCGGGAUACAUUGCAAUUUAUGUUGUCAAAGAUUCUUAAUAUAUCCUAGUUGCGUACAACAUAGAAAUUCCAGAACAAGAUAAAAAUUGAUGAGAGAAACUUAGGUCCUAUUUUCUGCUGCAUGUCUGUUAUCAUUCAUAAGCUUAAACUAUAUCGAUAAUUUGUUCCUCCUUGGACACAGGAUUUAAUGGUUUAAUUAGUUAAGAAUGUUAGAGUUUAGUGAUCAGUUAUAAAUGUCAAACCUUUUUCAAAGAUUUGGCAGCACAAUGCUAGUUGCAUGGGGUGUUUGUUGUUGUUAUUUAUCAGGGGGGGAAAUUAGGUUUCUGUUUUUGUUGUGACAUAACAAUAUGCAUCAGAAUUGAAAUGACCAUGUUGUUUCUUAUAUAAUCCUUUACUUUGGGUUUAGAAAGGAGAAAGUGAGAGAGACUCCAUUUGUAGUGAUUAGACUUUAGAUUGUGCACGAAUGAUAUGUUAGAACUCUGAUAUAACUCUGUUUGUCUUCAUGUUGUGUUAUGCUUUGCUCCACUGAUACAAUCUUGAUAAUAUAUUUUUUAUACAUUUAACAAGUUAUGUAUGGGGUCCUUAUGAUACAUAUUUAAUGCACAUACUAUCUACGUGUAUGUAUCUUGUCUACUGGUACCAUAUUUUUUGAUAGGUCGACUAUUCAUUGAUUCGCCAAUUAGCUUUUGAAAGAUGUGUUUGGUAAAAUAGGCUGCUUUUAAAGUCGGAAUAAAUUGUACUACAGUAAUACAGAGCAGAUGGCUGUUUGUUGGCACCUUGUCAGGAUUAACUAGUGGUUUUAGCUUGCUUUUGACGGGCAGCUAGUUCUAUCAUAAGUUGAUAGAAAGGUGAAAACAAUGAUUUUAGAUGGAUAACCCUUGUCAAAAUCAGCACUGCUGUGAUAGUUUGCAUCACAUUGCCUCUAUGGAAAAGAUCAUCAGAAACUGUAGUUUGCUGCAAAAGAAUAAGAGGGAUGGACAUCUUUAUUUGGAUCAGACUAGUGUAUAUGAUUAUAUGUAUAUGUAAAUUGGUCUAAAUUUGAAUUUUUUUUUACAAAUGUCUUCUCUCUUUCAUGUUAGGUUAGCUACUAUGUAACAUUUUUCUGAUGGCAGAAUCAGUUAGACAUUUUGUUGAGUCUAUUUUAAUAUCGAGUAGCUUUUGCACAUUCAUACUGCA